Molecule: ribosomal RNA, 472 nt
Filed under: uncultured bacterium
Lineage: Bacteria
Description: bacterial SSU rRNA
Rfam family: Bacterial small subunit ribosomal RNA
Source: RNAcentral
GACGAACGCUGGCGGCGUGCUUAACACAUGCAAGUCGAACGGGGUCCAUGAGAGCUUGCUCUCGGAAGACCUAGUGGCGAACGGGUGAGUAACACGUGAGAAACCUGCCUCGGAGUGGGGAAUAACUCGAGGAAACUCGAGCUAAUACCGCAUACCUUCAUUUGACCGCAUGGUCAGUUGAAGAAAGAUUUAUCGCUCUGAGAGGGUCUCGCGGCCUAUCAGCUUGUUGGUGGGGUAACGGCCUACCAAGGCAACGACGGGUAGCUGGAUUGAGAGAUCGACCAGCCACACUGGAACUGAGACACGGUCCAGAUUCCUACGGGAGGCAGCAGUGGGGAAUCUUGCGCAAUGGGCGAAAGCCUGACGCAGCAACGCCGCGUGCGGGAUGAAGGCCUUCGUGGUUGUAAACCGACUUUCAGUAGGGACGGAAAAGUAGACGGUACCUGCAGAAGAAGACUCCGGCUAACUACGU